AGAGUUUGAUCCUGGCUCAGGAUGAACGCUGGCGGCGUGCCUAACACAUGCAAGUCGAACGGAGUUACUAGAGCUUGCUUUGGUAACUUAGUGGCGGACGGGUGAGUAAUGUAUGAGCAACCUGCCUUUCAGAGGGGGACAACAGUUGGAAACGACUGCUAAUACCGCAUAAUGUACGUUGGGGGCAUCUCCGAUGUACCAAAGGAGCAAUCCGCUGAAAGAUGGGCUCAUAUCUGAUUAGUUAGUUGGCAGGGUAACGGCCUACCAAGACUGCGAUCAGUAGCCGGACCGAGAGGUUGAACGGCCACAUUGGGACUGAGAUACGGCCCAGACUCCUACGGGAGGCAGCAGUGGGGAAUAUUGGGCAAUGGGCGAAAGCCUGACCCAGCAACGCCGCGUGAAGGAAGAAGGCUUUCGGGUUGUAAACUUCUUUUGCCAGGGACGAAGGACGUGACGGUACCUGGAGAAAAAGCCACGGCUAACUACGUGCCAGCAGCCGCGGUAAUACGUAGGUGGCAAGCGUUAUCCGGAUUUACUGGGCGUAAAGGGAGCGUAGGCGGAUAUUUAAGUGGGAUGUGAAAUACCCGAGCUUAACUUGGGAGCUGCAUUCCAAACUGGAUAUCUAGAGUACUGGAGAGGGUAGUGGAAUUCCAUGUGUAGCGGUAAAAUGCGUAGAUAUAUGGAGGAACACCGGUGGCGAAGGCGGCUACCUAGACAGAGACUGACGCUGAGGCACGAAAGCGUGGGGAGCAAAUAGGAUUAGAUACCCUAGUAGUCCACGCUGUAAACGAUGAAUGCUAGGUAUCGGGGCGACCCGGUGCCGAAACUAACGCGAUAAGCAUUCCGCCUGUGGAGUAUGCACGCAAGUGUGAAACAUAAAGGAAUUGACGGGGGCCCGCACAAGCGGUGGAGUAUGUGGUUUAAUUCGACGCAACGCGAAGAACCUUACCAGGCCUUGACAUCCCUUGCGAAAUCCUGGAGACAGGAGGGAGGCUAUCAAGGAGACAGGUGGUGCAUGGUUGUCGUCAGCUCGUGUCGUGAGAUGUUGGGUUAAGUCCCGCAACGAGCGCAACCCCUAUUGUUAGUUGCUACGCAAGAGCACUCUAGCGAGACUGCCGUUGACAAAACGGAGGAAGGUGGGGACGACGUCAAAUCAUCAUGCCCCUUAUGUCCUGGGCUACACACGUAAUACAAUGGCGUCCAACAAAGGGAAGCAAAGCCGCGAGGCAGAGCAAAUCCCCAAAAGACGUCUCAGUUCGGAUUGCAGGCUGCAACUCGCCUGUAUGAAGUCGGAAUUGCUAGUAAUCGCGGAUCAGCAUGCCGCGGUGAAUACGUUCCCGGGCCUUGCACACACCGCCCGUCA
Molecule: ribosomal RNA, 1363 nt
Filed under: uncultured bacterium
Lineage: Bacteria
Description: 16S ribosomal RNA
Rfam family: Bacterial small subunit ribosomal RNA
Source: RNAcentral